This 382-nucleotide long non-coding RNA is filed under the name Ananas comosus (pineapple). Its description in RNAcentral is "long non-coding RNA (ACOM_LNC032872)". Lineage: Eukaryota; Viridiplantae; Streptophyta; Magnoliopsida; Poales; Bromeliaceae. The record is from RNAcentral.
CUUAAUCAUUAUCCAAAACAUUGCUUAUAAUCAUUUACGUGGUUUUAUAUUUUCUCACUUUAAUAUUCUGUGGUUUCAAGUGUAUCAAUUUAGUAUUCUAUUGUUUCAAUUUUUUUUUCUUUUUAUUAUCUCCUCUAUUAAUUUUUUUUAUUAAACCAGUGAUAAAGUUAAAACUAAAAUGUAUUAAAAUGAAUAUUCGAUAAAUUUAGGUCAGGUACGUAUCUGAAGUUUUUUGUAUAUAAUUUAACGAAAUAUUAACGGAGGAGCUGACGAAAAGAAAAAAAAAAAACAACAGGGUACUAAAUUGAUACACUUUAAACUACAAGAUGCUAAAGUGAGAAAGUGUAAAACUAUAGGAUGGUAUUUGAAAUUCAAAAAAAAA